AGUGAACGCUGGCGGUAGGCCUAACACAUGCAAGUCGAACGGCAGCACAGUAAGAGCUUGCUCUUACGGGUGGCGAGUGGCGGACGGGUGAGGAAUACAUCGGAAUCUACUUUUUCGUGGGGGAUAACGUAGGGAAACUUACGCUAAUACCGCAUACGACCUACGGGUGAAAGCAGGGGAUCUUCGGACCUUGCGCGAUUGAAUGAGCCGAUGUCGGAUUAGCUAGUUGGCGGGGUAAAGGCCCACCAAGGCGACGAUCCGUAGCUGGUCUGAGAGGAUGAGCAGCAACAUGGGAACUGAGCCACGGUCCAGCCUCCUACGGGAGGAAGCAGUGGGAAAUAUUGGACAAUGGGCGCAAGCCUGAUCCACCUAUCCCGGGGGGGUGAAGAAGGCCUUCGGUUUGUAAACCCUUUUUGUGGGAAAAAAAAAGCAGCAGUUUAAUACCCCGCUGUUCGGACGGUACCCAAAAAAUAAGCACCGGCUAACUUCGUG
Molecule: ribosomal RNA, 492 nt
Filed under: uncultured bacterium
Lineage: Bacteria
Description: partial 16S ribosomal RNA
Rfam family: Bacterial small subunit ribosomal RNA
Source: RNAcentral